This 28-nucleotide microRNA is filed under the name Xenopus laevis (African clawed frog). RNAcentral describes it as "xla-mir-192-3p". Lineage: Eukaryota; Metazoa; Chordata; Amphibia; Anura; Pipidae. The record is from RNAcentral.
UGGAUGUGAAGUCUGGGAUGGUUCACGG